GACGAACGCUGGCGGCGUGCUUAACACAUGCAAGUCGAACGGAAAGGCCCUGCUUGCAGGGUGCUCGAGUGGCGAACGGGUGAGUAACACGUGGGUGAUCUGCCCCUUACUUUGGGAUAAGCCUGGGAAACUGGGUCUAAUACUGGAUAGGACCAUGCUGUAGGUGGUGUGGUGGAAAGAUUAGUUUCGGUAAGGGAUGAGCUCGCGGCCUAUCAGCUUGUUGGUGGGGUAAUGGCCUACCAAGGCGUCGACGGGUAGCCGGCCUGAGAGGGUGGACGGCCGCAUUGGGACUGCGAUGCGGCCCAGACGCCUACGGGAGGCGGCAGUGGGGAAUAUUGCACAAUGGGCGCACGCCUGAUGCAGCGACGCCGCGUGGGGGAUGACGGCCUUCGGGUUGUAAACUCCUUUCGGCCAUGACGAAGCCCUUGUGGUGACGGUAGUGGUAGAAGAAGCACCGGCUAACUACGUG
Molecule: ribosomal RNA, 469 nt
Filed under: uncultured bacterium
Lineage: Bacteria
Description: partial 16S ribosomal RNA
Rfam family: Bacterial small subunit ribosomal RNA
Source: RNAcentral